Chlorocebus sabaeus (green monkey) is the source of this 872-nucleotide non-coding RNA. The record is from the annotation of a RefSeq genome assembly. Lineage: Eukaryota; Metazoa; Chordata; Mammalia; Primates; Cercopithecidae.
GGGCAGUGGACAGAAUCUGGGGAGGCAGUGGUGAAUCUCGGCGACUCUGGUCACCUGAUCAUAGAAUGGUUUGCCUUAGUCUGGACACUAGGGGGCGCUUGGGGCCCAUUUCUGAGAAGACUCGGGGUAAUCAGAGCAGAACCAGGCACCGGCCCUGCCUGAUGUCCUCUGCUCAGGGCUGACAGCUGUGUCCUGUGUCCUCCCCGCCCUCUGGGAGCACAAAACUCCACCCCUGCCACCCCCUGACAUCCUCAAGCCCAGGAGCCUGGCCCAGAGCUCAGGGCGGGGUCAAAAAGCUGGGGGCUCUGAUUUGCAUGGUUGGACUCUCCCCUUCUCAGAGUAUGAAGACAGGGAGAGAUUUGGGGGAAGCUCAGCUUCAGCUGUGGGUACAGAAGGCAGGACUCAGGACAAUCUCCAGCAUGGCCUGGUUCCCUCUCCUCCUCACCCUCCUUACUCACUGUGCAGGGUGCUGGGCCCAGUCUGUGUUGACUCAGCCACCCUCAGCGUCUGGGGCUCCCGGGCAGAGUGUCACCAUCUCUUGCUCUGGAAGCAGCUCCAACAUUGGAAGUAAUUCUGUAUACUGGUACCAGCAGUUCCCAGGAACGGCCCCCAAACUCCUCAUCUAUUAUAGUAAUCAGCGACCCUCAGGGGUCCCUGACCGAUUCUCUGGCUCCAAGUCUGGCACCUCAGCCUCCCUGACCAUCAGUGGGCUCCAGUCUGAGGAUGAGGCUGAUUAUUACUGUGCAGCAUGGGAUGACAGCCUGAGCGGUCCCACAGUGCUCCAGGCCCAGGGGGAAGUGAGACAAGAACCUCCUUCCUCCUCUGCCAGGAGGGUGAGCCCCCGGCACCUGCUGCUCAGGCCUGGCCUGUGA